This 803-nucleotide ribosomal RNA is filed under the name Klebsiella oxytoca. Its description in RNAcentral is "partial 23S ribosomal RNA". It matches the Rfam family "Bacterial large subunit ribosomal RNA", at positions 2128 to 2925 of the family's 2925-position model. The record is from RNAcentral. Lineage: Bacteria; Pseudomonadati; Pseudomonadota; Gammaproteobacteria; Enterobacterales; Enterobacteriaceae.
UCCUUGAUGUGUAGGAUAGGUGGGAGGCUUUGAAGUGUGGACGCCAGUCUGCAUGGAGCCAUCCUUGAAAUACCACCCUUUAAUGGCUGGUGUUCUAACGUGGGCCCGUAAUCCGGGUUGCGGACAGUGUCUGGUGGGUAGUUUGACUGGGGCGGUCUCCUCCUAAAGAGUAACGGAGGAGCACGAAGGUCAGCUAAUCCUGGUCGGACAUCAGGAGGUUAGUGCAAUGGCAUAAGCUGGCUUGACUGCGAGCGUGACGGCGCGAGCAGGUGCGAAAGCAGGUCAUAGUGAUCCGGUGGUUCUGAAUGGAAGGGCCAUCGCUCAACGGAUAAAAGGUACUCCGGGGAUAACAGGCUGAUACCGCCCAAGAGUUCAUAUCGACGGCGGUGUUUGGCACCUCGAUGUCGGCUCAUCACAUCCUGGGGCUGAAGUAGGUCCCAAGGGUAUGGCUGUUCGCCAUUUAAAGUGGUACGCGAGCUGGGUUUAGAACGUCGUGAGACAGUUCGGUCCCUAUCUGCCGUGGGCGCUGGAGAAUUGAGGGGGGCUGCUCCUAGUACGAGAGGACCGGAGUGGACGCAUCACUGGUGUUCGGGUUGUCAUGCCAAUGGCAUUGCCCGGUAGCUAAAUGCGGAAGAGAUAAGUGCUGAAAGCAUCUAAGCACGAAACUUGCCCCGAGAUGAGUUCUCCCUGACUCCUUGAGAGUCCUGAAGGAACGUUGAAGACGACGACGUUGAUAGGCCGGGUGUGUAAGCGCAGCGAUGCGUUGAGCUAACCGGUACUAAUGAACCGUGAGGCUUAACCUU